RNAcentral lists this ribosomal RNA (252 nucleotides) under uncultured microorganism. RNAcentral's name for it is "partial 16S ribosomal RNA". It matches the Rfam family "Bacterial small subunit ribosomal RNA", at positions 524 to 776 of the family's 1533-position model. The record is from RNAcentral.
UACGUAGGUCCCGAGCGUUGUCCGGAUUUAUUGGGCGUAAAGCGAGCGCAGGUGGUUUAAUAAGUCUGAUGUAAAAGGCAGUGGCUCAACCAUUGUGUGCAUUGGAAACUGUUAGACUUGAGUGCAGUAGAGGAGAGUGGAAUUCCAUGUGUAGCGGUGAAAUGCGUAGAUAUAUGGAGGACCACCGGUGGCGAAAGCGGCUCUCUGGACUGUAACUGACACUGAGGUGCGAGAGCGUGGGGAGCAAACAGG